UGAGGAAUAUUGGUCAAUGGGCGAGAGCCUGAACCAGCCAAGUCGCGUGAGGGAAGAAUGUCCUAUGGAAUGUAAACCUCUUUUGUCGGGGAGCAAAGACAGUCACUUGUGACCGGAUGAGAGUACCCGAAGAAAAAGCAUCGGCCAACUCCGUGCCAGCAGCCGCGGUAAUACGGAGGAUGCGAGCGUUAUCCGGAUUUAUUGGGUUUAAAGGGUGCGUAGGCGGAACGGAAAGUCAGCGGUAAAAAUGCGGGGCUCAACCCCGUCGAGCCGUUGAAACUGUCGUUCUUGAGUGGGCGAGAAGUAUGCGGAAUGCGAGGUGUAGCGGUGAAAUGCAUAGAUAUCACGCAGAACUCCGAUUGCGAAGGCAGCAUACCGGCGCCCAACUGACGCUGAAGCACGAAAGCGUGGGUAUCGAACAGG
Molecule: ribosomal RNA, 423 nt
Filed under: uncultured bacterium
Lineage: Bacteria
Description: bacterial SSU rRNA
Rfam family: Bacterial small subunit ribosomal RNA
Source: RNAcentral